AGGACGAACGCUGGCGGCGUGCUUAACACAUGCAAGUCGAACGGAAAGGCCCUUCGGGGUACUCGAGUGGCGAACGGGUGAGUAACACGUGGGUGAUCUGCCCUGCACUUCGGGAUAAGCCUGGGAAACUGGGUCUAAUACCGGAUACACCUCAUGGGCUGCAUGGUCUGUGGGGGAAAGCUUUUGCGGUGUGGGAUGGGCCCGCGGCCUAUCAGCUUGUUGGUGGGGUGAUGGCCUACCAAGGCGACGACGGGUAGCCGGCCUGAGAGGGUGACCGGCCACACUGGGACUGAGAUACGGCCCAGACUCCUACGGGAGGCAGCAGUGGGGAAUAUUGCACAAUGGGCGCAAGCCUGAUGCAGCGACGCCGCGUGAGGGAUGACGGCCUUCGGGUUGUAACCUCUUUCAGCAGGGACGAAGCGAAGUGACGGUACCUGCAGAAGAAGGACCGGCCAACUACGCGCCAGCAGCCGC
This 474-nucleotide ribosomal RNA is filed under the name uncultured bacterium. RNAcentral's name for it is "SSU rRNA". It matches the Rfam family "Bacterial small subunit ribosomal RNA", at positions 26 to 518 of the family's 1533-position model. The record is from RNAcentral.